UAGGGAAUCUUCCACAAUGGACGCAAGUCUGAUGGAGCAACGCCGCGUGAGUGAAGAAGGAUUUCGGAUCGUAAAGCUCUGUUGUUGGUGAAGAAGGAUAGAGGCAGUAACUGGUCUUUAUUUGACGGUAAUCAACCAGAAAGUCACGGCUAACUACUUGCCAGCAGCCGCGGUAAUACGUAGGUGGCAAGCGUUGUCCGGAUUUAUUGGGCGUAAAGCGAGCGCAGGCGGAAUGAUAAGUCUGAUGUGAAAGCCCACGGCUCAACCGGGGAACUGAAUCGGAAACUGUCAAGCUUGAGUGCAGAGAAGGAGAGUGGAAUUCCAUGUGUAGCGGUGGAAUGCGUAGAGAUAUGGAAGAACACAAGUGGCGAAGGCGGCUCUCUGGCUGCAACUGACGCUGAGGCUCGAAAGCAUGGGUAGCGAACAGG
RNAcentral lists this ribosomal RNA (428 nucleotides) under bacterium. RNAcentral's name for it is "partial 16S ribosomal RNA". It matches the Rfam family "Bacterial small subunit ribosomal RNA", at positions 355 to 776 of the family's 1533-position model. The record is from RNAcentral.